ACACCUCAACUCUCAUGGUUUGCCAUGAUGAGCUUGGACUCUGGGGGUUUUGCUGGCCUGCGGUCAGCUCCCCUCAAAUGGAUCAGCCUCCCAGUGUUUGGUGGCAUCACAGGUGUGAUAACUAUCUACGCUUGCGAUUGCCUGCCAGGUAACCUUUGGCAACAAAGGUUCGCUGGGGCUCACAAACGUCUCUCCUCAGUAGAGACAACUUUUUGAAC
This 218-nucleotide unclassified non-coding RNA is filed under the name uncultured Tomentella. RNAcentral describes it as "sequence contains ITS2". Lineage: Eukaryota; Fungi; Basidiomycota; Agaricomycetes; Thelephorales; Thelephoraceae. The record is from RNAcentral.